RNAcentral lists this ribosomal RNA (253 nucleotides) under uncultured bacterium. RNAcentral describes it as "partial 16S ribosomal RNA". It matches the Rfam family "Bacterial small subunit ribosomal RNA", at positions 524 to 776 of the family's 1533-position model. The record is from RNAcentral.
UACAGAGGGGGCAAGCGUUGUUCGGAAUUACUGGGCGUAAAGGGCGCGUAGGCGGCCUGUUAAGUCGAACGUGAAAUCCCUGGGCUCAACCCAGGAACUGCGUCCGAUACUGGCAGGCUUGAAUUCGGGAGAGGGAUGUGGAAUUCCAGGAGUAGCGGUGAAAUGCGUAGAUAUCUGGAGGAACACCGGUGGCGAAGGCGGCAUCCUGGACCAUUACUGACACUGAAAAGCGAAAGCCAGGGGAGCAAACGGG